RNAcentral lists this ribosomal RNA (473 nucleotides) under uncultured bacterium. Its description in RNAcentral is "bacterial SSU rRNA". It matches the Rfam family "Bacterial small subunit ribosomal RNA", at positions 355 to 825 of the family's 1533-position model. The record is from RNAcentral.
UGGGGAAUAUUGCGCAAUGGGCGAAAGCCUGACGCAGCAACGCCGCGUGAGUGAUGAAGGCCUUCGGGUCGUAAAGCUCUGUCGGAGGGAACGAAUGCUCCUGAAGUUAACAGCCUCAGGAGGUGACGGUACCCUCAAAGGAAGCACCGGCUAACUCCGUGCCAGCAGCCGCGGUAAUACGGAGGGAGCUAGCGUUGUUCGGAAUUACUGGGCGUAAAGCGUACGUAGGCGGUGACUCAAGUCAGAGGUGAAAGCCUGGAGCUCAACUCCAGAACUGCCUUUGAAACUAGGUCGCUAGAAUCACGGAGAGGUGAGUGGAAUUCCGAGUGUAGAGGUGAAAUUCGUAGAUAUUCGGAAGAACACCAGUGACGAAGGCGGCCACCUGGUUGGAUACUGACGCUGAGACGCGAAAGCGUGGGGAGCAAACAGGAUUAGAUACCCAGGUAGUCCCUGAGCGGGCUGGCAAGGCGCAU